CAAGAAAACAUUUACAGAAUCACACUACAUUUUCUGGUUAGAAAAAAUAGAACUGCAGAACCUCCUUGAAAGGGGCGAGACAAAAGAAGAGGGCUGGCUGAGAAACAAACCCAGAAAAGAUCAAAACCCCUCACCAUCGCCUUGAGGAAGAAAAGAAAUUAGGCUGCUGGCCUCUCCAUUUAAAGGUUGCUCCAUUGUGGUCAGGUGAGAGCCGCCAUCUCUUAGCCCACUCCCUCUGUUCCUGUUGGACUCGGAGGAGGAGCGGCCCACCUGGCAGGGUCUGCGAGCACAGAAAGCCAAGUGUCUUGUAAGAUGGUGCCAUUUCAGGUGCACUGCUUUAUAGACAGGCAGAUGGGGAUAGGAAAUCAUGAAUUCUUGCACAGGCUUUCCUCGUUCUUAAAGGGAAUGAAGAUGAACAAAGGAUCAUUGCACAGGCAUUUGGAGAUCCAGCCCUGGAGAACAGAGAAGCAGCUCUUCAGCAUGACAUGUAUGAAGCAAUAUUAUUCAGGUUUUCAACUGGCAUUUGUUUCAUUGGCAAAGAACCAGAACCUGACCAGCCCUGAAGAGUUUCAGUCUAAAUUUCUAAAGCCUUCUGGUAGCCCAAUAUGUUGAAGACAUAAUGAGAAGACUUCAGGGCUCAUAUAUUAAGUUUUUGCUAGUAUAAUUGAUUCUAAUUAUAAAGAAAGUUAAAUUUCCAGAAAAAUGUCAAAAACAUAACAUUAAAAUAUAUCACUUGUUGUAAUAUAUAUUUAUGAAAAACUAUUUUGUAGGACUCUAAAAAGUUAAAUAAAAUACAUUCUGUGCUUCACUUUCUUCAUCU
This 820-nucleotide long non-coding RNA is filed under the name Equus asinus (donkey). Its description in RNAcentral is "lncRNA (ENSEASG00005028360.1)". Lineage: Eukaryota; Metazoa; Chordata; Mammalia; Perissodactyla; Equidae. The record is from RNAcentral.